RNAcentral lists this ribosomal RNA (495 nucleotides) under uncultured bacterium. RNAcentral's name for it is "partial 16S ribosomal RNA". It matches the Rfam family "Bacterial small subunit ribosomal RNA", at positions 28 to 507 of the family's 1533-position model. The record is from RNAcentral.
GACGAACGCUGGCGGCGUGCCUAAUACAUGCAAGUAGGACGCUGAAGGAGGAGCUUGCUUCUCUGGAUGAGUUGCGAGCGGGUGAGUAACGCGUAGGUAACCUGCCUGGUAGCGGGGGAUAACUAUUGGAAACGAUAGCUAAUACCGCAUAAUAGUAGAUGUUGCAUGACAUUUGCUUAAAAGGUGCAAUUGCAUCACUACCAGAUGGACCUGCGUUGUAUUAGCUAGUUGGUGGGGUAACGGCUCACCAAGGCGACGAUACAUAGCCGACCUGAGAGGGUGAUCGGCCACACUGGGACUGAGACACGGCCCAGACUCCUACGGGAGGCAGCAGUAGGGAAUCUUCGGCAAUGGACGGAAGUCUGACCGAGCAACGCCGCGUGAGUGAAGAAGGUUUUCGGAUCGUAAAGCUCUGUUGUAAGAGAAGAACGAGUGUGAGAGUGGAAAGUUCACACUGUGACGGUAUCUUACCAGAAGGGGACGGCUAACUACGUG